UUGAUAUUUAUAGCCAAUUAUGCUUAACCCUAGCAUCGUUAUUAACGGUCGUAAUUAAUGCUUGGACGGCCUUAACCACUUUGGUUUGACUGCCUCGAAAAGCGUCAUCUUUAUUUUUCCAAGGAGUCAAAGUUUUGACCCAUUUAAGCUAACGAAGAUUGCAUAAGAAGGGCGAUACCAAGAAGAAAUAAAGAGCAGCGCAUAAUGGAAAGGAAAUGAUUGAAAUUCAAAUUACUGCAAAGGAGUUCAAAUUACAACAAAAGGGAAUACAACGAAAGCAAAGAUACGAACGGAAAACAAUAAAAGUUUCAAAAUACAGAAGCAAACUACAAACAUAAGAAAGAAAGGCAUAAAGGGAAAGGCGAGCAAGCAAAGACUUCAUGGUAUUGUAGAACUCCCGAAUUCACCAGCAUCGGCGACGACGAUACGAUGCAUUUCCUCCAAUGCCCGUUUCACCCUUUUCGCCUUCACCAUGUUUUCUUCGAUAGGCUUCAAAUCUUCUCUCAGCUCGCCUUGUUUGUCCAAAAGGUCCACCAGAGAGUGACGCCUGGAAAUCAGUUUAGUAACAUCAUCCCUAAUUUCACCUUGAAGAGCCCUCUUUCUCUUCAACAUCGGCUUCAUUUCUUUGUUUAACAUCGUCAAACGGUCAUCCACUCUUCGCUCUUCAUUAAAGCAUAUUCCCAGAAUUUCCUCCUGCACGCCCAUGGUUUCUUUCGUGAUCUCUAUCUAGCUAUCAACAGCUUCAGUAACUUCGGAAUGACACUCCUUGACGUUUUCCAC
RNAcentral lists this long non-coding RNA (780 nucleotides) under Trifolium pratense (red clover). Its description in RNAcentral is "long non-coding RNA (TPRA_LNC009001)". Lineage: Eukaryota; Viridiplantae; Streptophyta; Magnoliopsida; Fabales; Fabaceae. The record is from RNAcentral.